Molecule: ribosomal RNA, 2373 nt
Filed under: Campylobacter coli
Lineage: Bacteria; Pseudomonadati; Campylobacterota; Epsilonproteobacteria; Campylobacterales; Campylobacteraceae
Description: partial 23S ribosomal RNA
Rfam family: Bacterial large subunit ribosomal RNA
Source: RNAcentral
AAAAAAGGUAAGCUACUAAGAGCGAAUGGUGGAUGCCUUGACUGGUAAAGGCGAUGAAGGACGUACUAGACUGCGAUAAGCUACGGGGAGCUGUCAAGAAGCUUUGAUCCGUAGAUUUCCGAAUGGGGCAACCCAAUGUAUAGAGAUAUACAUUACCUAUAUAGGAGCGAACGAGGGGAAUUGAAACAUCUUAGUACCCUCAGGAAAAGAAAUCAAUAGAGAUUGCGUCAGUAGCGGCGAGCGAAAGCGCAAGAGGGCAAACCCAGUGCUUGCACUGGGGGUUGUAGGACUGCAAUGUGCAAGAGGUGAGUUUAGCAGAACAUUCUGGAAAGUAUAGCCAUAGAGGGUGAUAGUCCCGUAUGCGAAAAACAAACCUUAGCUAGCAGUAUCCUGAGUAGGGCGGGACACGAGAAAUCCUGUCUGAAGCUGGGUCGACCACGAUCCAACCCUAAAUACUAAUACCAGAUCGAUAGUGCACAAGUACCGUGAGGGAAAGGUGAAAAGAACUGAGGUGAUCAGAGUGAAAUAGAACCUGAAACCAUUUGCUUACAAUCAUUCAGAGCCCUAUGUAGCAAUACAGGGUGAUGGACUGCCUUUUGCAUAAUGAGCCUGCGAGUUGUGGUGUCUGGCAAGGUUAAGCAAACGCGAAGCCGUAGCGAAAGCGAGUCUGAAUAGGGCGCUUAGUCAGAUGCUGCAGACCCGAAACGAAGUGAUCUAUCCAUGAGCAAGUUGAAGCUAGUGUAAGAACUAGUGGAGGACUGAACCCAUAGGCGUUGAAAAGCCCCGGGAUGACUUGUGGAUAGGGGUGAAAGGCCAAUCAAACUUCGUGAUAGCUGGUUCUCUCCGAAAUAUAUUUAGGUAUAGCGUUGUGUCGUAAUAUAAGGGGGUAGAGCACUGAAUGGGCUAGGGCAUACACCAAUGUACCAAACCCUAUCAAACUCCGAAUACCUUAUAUGUAAUCACAGCAGUCAGGCGGCGAGUGAUAAAAUCCGUCGUCAAGAGGGAAACAACCCAGACUACCAGCUAAGGUCCCUAAAUCUUACUUAAGUGGAAAACGAUGUGAAGUUACUUAAACAACCAGGAGGUUGGCUUAGAAGCAGCCAUCCUUUAAAGAAAGCGUAAUAGCUCACUGGUCUAGUGAUUUUGCGCGGAAAAUAUAACGGGGCUAAAGUAAGUACCGAAGCUGUAGACUUGCGCACAACUUAGAUUAUUUAAGUUUAGAAUAUGAGAAACUAAGUUAUAUGUUUAGUUAUAUUUUUACUGAUUUUUAUAGAGUAAAGAUAGAAAUAAAACUUAGUAAAAUCAGUAAAAAUAUUCUUAGACUAAAGUUAAGUAGUUUAAGUUGUGUGCAAGUGGUAGGAGAGCGUUCUAUUUGCGUCGAAGGUAUACCGGUAAGGAGUGCUGGAGCGAAUAGAAGUGAGCAUGCAGGCAUGAGUAGCGAUAAUUAAUGUGAGAAUCAUUAACGCCGUAAACCCAAGGUUUCCUACGCGAUGCUCGUCAUCGUAGGGUUAGUCGGGUCCUAAGUCGAGUCCGAAAGGGGUAGACGAUGGCAAAUUGGUUAAUAUUCCAAUACCAACAUUAGUGUGCGAUGGAAGGACGCUUAGGGCUAAGGGGGCUAGCGGAUGGAAGUGCUAGUCUAAGGUCGUAGGAGGUUAUACAGGCAAAUCCGUAUAACAAUACUCCGAGAACUGAAAGGCUUUUUGAAGUCUUCGGAUGGAUAGAAGAACCCCUGAUGCCGUCGAGCCAAGAAAAGUUUCUAAGUUUAGCUAAUGUUGCCCGUACCGUAAACCGACACAGGUGGGUGGGAUGAGUAUUCUAAGGCGCGUGGAAGAACUCUCUUUAAGGAACUCUGCAAAAUAGCACCGUAUCUUCGGUAUAAGGUGUGGUUCGCUUCGUAUUAGGAUUUACUCCGAAAGCGAAGAAACUUACAACAAAGAGUCCCUCCCGACUGUUUACCAAAAACACAGCACUCUGCUAACUCGUAAGAGGAUGUAUAGGGUGUGACGCCUGCCCGGUGCUCGAAGGUUAAUUGAUGGGGUUAGCAUUAGCGAAGCUCUUGAUCGAAGCCCGAGUAAACGGCGGCCGUAACUAUAACGGUCCUAAGGUAGCGAAAUUCCUUGUCGGUUAAAUACCGACCUGCAUGAAUGGCGUAACGAGAUGGGAGCUGUCUCAAAGAGGGAUCCAGUGAAAUUGUAGUGGAGGUGAAAAUUCCUCCUACCCGCGGCAAGACGGAGAGACCCCGUGGACCUUUACUACAGCUUGACACUGCUAUUUGGAUAAGAAUGUGCAGGAUAGGUGGGAGGCUUUGAGUAUAUGACGCCAGUUGUAUAUGAGCCAUUGUUGAGAUACCACUCUUUCUUAUUUGGGUAGCUA